AUCACUUCUUGGCCUUUUGGCUAAGAUCAAGUGUAGUAAAUGUUUCCACUACCUACCGCACAAGAUGGUAUGGGAUGCUUUGGUUUUAAAUCCACAACCACCCCAC
This is a small nuclear RNA of Pongo abelii (Sumatran orangutan), 106 nucleotides long. Its record names the gene U2. It matches the Rfam family "U2 spliceosomal RNA". From Rfam's summary of the family: U2 is a small nuclear RNA (snRNA) component of the spliceosome (involved in pre-mRNA splicing). Complementary binding between U2 snRNA (in an area lying towards the 5' end but 3' to hairpin I) and the branchpoint sequence (BPS) of the intron results the bulging out of an unpaired adenosine, on the BPS, which initiates a nucleophilic attack at the intronic 5' splice site, thus starting the first of two transesterification reactions that mediate splicing. The record is from Ensembl. NCBI's taxonomy places the organism in Eukaryota, Metazoa, Chordata, Mammalia, Primates, Hominidae.